UUGAAGCCCAGAGGAAAUCUCCCUCCUCUAAUGCAGUUUCCACUCCCACGGCUGGGAAGAGAGAGGAAGAUGCAGCAUUGGGGAAGAGCUGAUUAAUACCAGAGAGAAGGAGGUGGCAUUGGGUGGGGUAGCCCCAUUCCCAGCCCAGAGAGAAAGGAGGAGCUGGCAGCAUCAGAGGGAGAGCAUCUCCCCAAUCCAGGAAGCAGCUCCAGUGGGAGAGCCCAGCCCUGCCCAGAGGAAAGACGGGAUGUUGGAGAAGAGCAAUGGGGAGACCCCCUGCACCGGGGUAAAGCAGAGGGAUGUGUCAGUCCUCAGGGCAGAGAGCUCUGUUCGGGUGCUGCUCAGGGAGAGUGUUUCUGUUCAUUAGCAUGGGCAUGAACUCAGCACUCAGGUUGGUGUCAGGAUUAUUUGUGUGAUGUCAGCUUGGGAUCUCCCCAGGUGUUCCGGCACCUUGGCAGAAGUUGGGGAGAGGGGGUACUAGGUCGCACCACCUGUGGCCCUGCCCUCCUCCUGGCCCUGCCCCACUCUUCAUCUUCUCACCGAGGCCCUGACCCUGGCCAGGCUGGGAGCCUUGGCCACUAUGGAGAGCCCCUGACCCUCCACCUUCCCAUGUCCACUCUCCGGCUUGCGCCACCCAGGGCAGGUGGAGGGUCCAGGGGGAAGAGGAGCAGGGUGGGGCCACUGAGAGGGACAAGCACCAGGAAGAAGCUGCACUACACAGGGCGCAGUUGAUCAGCCGCCCCUCCAUGAAGCACAGCCAAUGCUGCGAUGCUCCACGCCUGCCCAAGGCUUGCAGUUUGGGGGGCCAACAUGGCCCCCUGCCCCCAAACUAUGCCCAUGUUAAAAAGAGGGUGAGCUUGGCCCCCUGGCCCCCAUGUUCCAGUGCCCCUGGAUCUCCUCACUGUGAACAGGUUAUUUUUAGGGCUGUGUGUGCCACAGUCACUGGUGAUUUGGUUGGUAACUUUCGUUACAAUAUCAUGACGAUGUUUUCACUGGAAUUUUCUCGGAAUUUAAAGACAAUCUUCAGCUGCAAACUCACCCUGUCUGUGUGCUCCUAGGGAUUCCAGUGCAGAUGGCAGAGUGUCUGGCGGGGGAAAGGAGAAAAGAGACGAAAUUUCAGACCUUCAUAUUUAUAACAGCAUCCCCACUCUGAACGCAUAGAACUGUGUUUUCAUCAUGACAGAGAAACAGAUCGAGAGGCCCAGAGACACACUCAGGCAUUUAAUAGAAACUAACUGAAACCUUCUACUUCUUCUCUCAUUCAGCCAUCUCCCAGCAAUGGAACCAACGUCCUUUCAGCCUCACAACCAUCCCAGGACACACAAUCUCAACUGCACCAUGUCCUGGAGGAACAAGAGCGACUCCUACUGGCCCAGCUGGAAGAGCUGGAUCCAGAGACUGCAGAAAGAAUUGAAAAGACAAAGCAAAUUUUGCAGGAAAUACCUGUGCCUGUGAGCUGCUCAUGAAUGGGCGUGUGUGUGUAUGAUCACAAACCGGAGAACUUGGAGGACGCUGAUGUGGCUAGUAAGUCGGUGAAACUAGCCGAAUAACAUUUCUCUUUUGACGUAGGAAUAAAAACACUGAAUAUUGUU
Long non-coding RNA from Chelonia mydas (Green sea turtle), 1592 nucleotides. RefSeq lists it as uncharacterized. The transcript has 2 exons. The record is from RefSeq and is a predicted model, not a curated record. Lineage: Eukaryota; Metazoa; Chordata; Testudines; Cheloniidae.